UACGUAGGGGGGCAAGCGUUGUCCGGAAUCAUUGGGCGUAAAGAGCGUGUAGGCGGCCAGAUAAGUCCGCUGUGAAAUCUCGAGGCUCAACUUCGAGCUGUCGGUGGAAACUGUCUGGCUAGAGUCCGGAAGAGGAGAAUGGAAUUCCUGGUGUAGCGGUGAAAUGCGCAGAUAUCAGGAAGAACACCCGUGGCGAAGGCGGUUCUCUGGGACGGUACUGACGCUGAAGCACGAAAGCUAGGGGAGCAAAUGGG
RNAcentral lists this ribosomal RNA (254 nucleotides) under uncultured bacterium. Its description in RNAcentral is "partial 16S ribosomal RNA". It matches the Rfam family "Bacterial small subunit ribosomal RNA", at positions 524 to 776 of the family's 1533-position model. The record is from RNAcentral.